CCCAGGGAUAAGGGCCACCCUAGCCUGUUCCUCUGAGCCUGUCCUAGAGACGUCUCCAUGUGGGAGAGUGCUCUUCUUUGGGAUUCUAAAAGGACUGCUCUCCAGAUGACAUUCCACCCACAGAGAUUUGGCUGAUGGUUGAUCCAGAUGCUAACACCUCACCCCCCAUUUAUUUUGAGAAGGCUGCCACCCUGAAGCGCAAGGCUGGUCUACGGGUAAACGAUGUGUCCCACAGACACUCCCUUAACAGGGCCUGGGAAUCCCCAGCCUCUCUCUAGGCAUGUGUUUCUAGAAAGCUACUCUGAACUUCGUACCAGUGCCCUUUACGCACUGGAUGGUCUCUUCGUGUGAUCUACACUCUCCCUUUUGCGUCUUUCCUCUGCUCUGACCUUAUCUCCUCUCCUUUGCUGGAUGCAGAGAAGAUUAAUAUGGUCAUGGUUCUAAUUAUUAGCUUGCAUCUUAUGGAUCUCAUACAUAGAGGUCAUUCCAGGCCAGUGCCAAAGAACUUCAACCCCUGGCCACUCCAUUCAUCAGCACCCUGUAUUUAUUCAACAAUAUAGGGCAAGAGCAAGGACUGCCUCUUUUAUGUUGCCUAAAGUCUCAGGGAAGAUUCCUUUUAGGAAGAAAGUAGGUUAUUGUUUAAAGCAAGGGCUAAGUUCUAAAGUUUAAAAAAAAAAAAAUUGUGUUUUACCACGUGGCAACACCAGAAGUGUUGGGAGAGAGGGGUCUGCCUGUUGGUUAGCUCCAAAGCUACACUGUUGAAAAACACUGGCUGUGGAUGGGCUGCCUCUAAAGAUGCUAAAUCAGGCGGUACUGGGAGAUAUUCAGAACAGCUCCCAGGUAUGCCAAGGAAGGGCCAGUUCACAGUGCCUGUGUUAUAUGGUCAGCUCCUUACACCAGGGGAAUGUUCUCAGCAUAGCCUGAGAACAUUCUGUAUACAACCAAUCUAUGCCACUGUCAUAUAUGUAUUAAACCUGCUAAAUGUUCCUGCAUUUCAGGAAGUAGCAUUUACAUGUGAAACUAUCCCGUUUGAGUCUGAACACAUUUGUUUCAUUGUCCUUCUUUUGAAUUUCAAUACAGGGAGGUGCCAGGGAAGAGUUAAUGCUGACUAUGCAAGAGCUAAAAACCAGACUAUUGGGAGUUCCCUUGUGGUGCAGAGGAACUGGAUCCAGUGUUGUCACUGCAGCAGCUUGGGCGACUGCUAUGGCUCGGGUUCAAUCCUCAGGGGUACUAGUCAGGUUCUUAAACCACUGAGCCACAAUGAGAACCCCACUAGUGGGUUUAUUUGUUGAUUCAGCAGUUUCACUUAUUCACUCAACAGAAAUGCACACACACACACAAAGUACAAAAUGUGCCUCAGCAUCAGGAGGCUUCUAUGUUGCAUCUGGAGACCUCCUGCUUCUUGCUGGAUGGGACUUGCCCCUGUUUCUCAUCAUUGUCAUGUCCACUAACACUCUUGGACAGGCCCGUGGGUUUGGGGCUAGGUGGAGACAAAAGUCCUCAGAGAGCUGGUCCUAGAGACUCCUCGAACACCAUCAGGAGGCCGAUGGGGCCUACCUGUGAGAUGUGCCAGACACUAAGCUAGAAAACAUGUCAUGACUUUCCAGAAAUAGGUUUCCCCUUGUUCAGUGUCGCUAGUCUCUGUGGCCACCACGUGUAAAUCAAGCUUGCACAGGCUCAUCCUCCGAUGGGGAAGAGAACUUUCCAGUGCUGCUCCUGAGCACAGGUGGGGAACUAGGGAAUUUCUCUGAACUUGGCAAAUCUGGUUUCCAGGUGGGGAAGGAAAAGCGGGAGCAGGUGUCGCCUUGGCCCCACCCCAAAGCUCUCAUCGUCACCCUCCCGUCCGAAUGCUCCCUUUGGGUGUCCCCUUCGUCAGGGCCCUUUGCUUUCCAGGGGCGCAGCCAGAUAAUGCUUUUCCUACCAUGAAGCAUCAACGUGCUUGUUAUUAACAAGAGAGGCGCAUGGCAGUGCCAAGGCAGACAUGUGGGACUGAGAGAGAAGGGCUGAAAAAUACUCCUUUUCCCCAAUGGCCAGGUGGCUGGGGCCUCAGCUUCCUCAUCUGAGAUGAGGAGCUCAUGACUCCUGGAGCUCACAGGAACUUGGGGGCGAUCAGGCCAGCACCAGGCAUCAGACACGUCACAUCCAAGGUGUGACUCAAGGUGAGUUUGUGAGGUCAGCGUGUUGUCAACUGAAGCAGGUUUAUCUCCAGGUUACAGCGAGGAGGGGGGCUGGAUGAUGAUCACCAGACUUGCAAAAGUGACGGCAGAGAAGCGCAUCCUUGUGUCUGGAGGAUGGCCCCAAUCUGUCACCAGAGGCAACACUGGGGACCACAAUGUGGAUCAUGCCAGAAUUUUGGGGUAAGAACUGAACAAGCCGCAACCUGGAGUUUUCUACCAAGAAGGGCAGGUGGUAUUCACGUGAGACACAUGACCAAGCACCUAGAUAAAAACCACUUGCAUCUGGGUUGCUUCUUUCACGGACGCAGGCAAAGAUGGAAUGGGAGUACUAACCUGAAACACUGUUUUUUUUUAAUUAAUUAAUUAAUUUAUUUAUUUAUUUUAUUUGUGGGGUCAUACAUAUGGCAUAUGGAAGUUCCCAGGCUGUGGGUUGAAUCGGAGCUAUAGCUGCCUGCCUACACCACAGCCAUAGCAAUACUAGAUCUGAGCCACAUCUGUGAGCUACACUGCAGCUCAUGGCAAUGCCUGAUCCUUAAACCACUGGGGAGGGCCAGAGAUCAAAACGGCAUUCUCAUGGAUACUAGUCAUGUUAGUUACUGCUGAGCCGCAAGGGGAAAUCCAGAAACACUGUUUUAAAAGAAGUAAUUUCCAUCCCUACAGAGAAUCACAGUCAAAGAGUUUUUUUGGUUUUUUUUUUUUUUUUUUUUUUUAAUGGCAUGUGGACGUUCCUGAGCCAGUCAUCGAACCCGUGCCACAGCAGUGACAAUGCUGGGUCCUUUGACCACUAGCCACCAGGGAACUCCCAAGAGGAGAUCUUCGUAAGCUCAAGAUGCCAUUUGUUGAUAUUCCUGGGCAUUAGCCUCAGAAAGGUGCUGAUUUGACUAUAAAAAUAAAGUAAUAUCUUUUGGUUCAGCAACAGGGCUGAGAGAGUCCCAAAACAAUGAUCAGCAACAUAAGCAAAACAUUGUCUGCGUUGCAGUCUUCAAAGAUGAUCACCAGGGCAGAUGGCACUGCAUUCGCCUCCCUAUCCUUUUCUGGAUGGAAAAAAAAUAGCAGUGAAUUCCCACCUGCCUCCUCCCUGACCCACAGUGGGACGAUGGAAUGGGCCCCAGUUGUCCUGGGGGACCGUCUCAGGUCCCUGACUACAGUGGUGUAAUUAUUAACAGCAACCUCCUUUCCCUCCAGAAAAUCAGUCUAAACACGUUGCACAGCCAUUCCAAAAUGAAGCAGGAUUCUAGAAAGACCCUCACCAUCACUGGGGCUUGUAGGAGCUACACUGUGCAUGUUAUUAGCAAUGCUGAUAUUGGCGGUCCUGCCAUGGCUCAGCAGAAACGAAUUUCACUGGCAUCCAUGAGGACUCACGUUCAACCCCUAGCCUCAGUCAGUGGGUUAAGGAUCCAGCAUUGCCGUGAGCUCUGGUGUAGGUCACAGACACAGCUCAGGUCUGACACCGCUGUGGCUAUGGUAUAGGCCAGCAACUACAGCUCUGAUUCGACCCCUAGCUUGGGAACCUCCAUAUGCUGCAGGGUCAGCCCUAAAAAGCAAAAAAACAAACAAACAAACAAAAAAAACCAAAAAAGGAAAUGCUGAUAUUGAAAGAGAAAGACAAAUACCAUAUGAUGUCUCUUGUACAAGGAAUCUAAAAUAUGGCACAAAUGAACCUAUCUACAGAACAGAAAGAGACUCAUGGACAUAAGAGAACAGACUUGUGGUUGCCAAGGGAGAGGAGGAAGGAAGUGGGAUGGAUAGGGAUUUGGGGGCUAGUGUAUACAGACUGUUACAUUUAGAAUGGAUAAGCAAGGAGGUCCUGCUGUAUAGCACAGGGAACUAUAUCCAAUGACUUCUGAUAGAACAUGAUAGAAUACGAGAAAAGAAUGUGUGUGUGUGUGUGUGUGUGUAUAAUAAAAAAUUAAAAAAAAAGAAAUGCUGGUAAUCCUCCUGCCCAUAUGACCUUUAAAACUUGAGCCAGCUUCAAAGGCGGCUCACAUAUGAUCUUUCCAUUGCUUUCCCUGAACUGAUCCCUGCCCAGCUGUCUUCCCACAAGAACUUCCCACAAACAUGAGGCAGUGGAGGCUCGUGCAUGCCUAACUCCCCUUCAAGGUCAAGGUCAAUGGUUAAACUUGUGGUGUCCCCAGCACCUGACAUAGUGCCUGGUGGUGUACCCAGAGGCUUAUCGUAUGCUGUCAGCACCAAAUGAGCCUGGCGGGGGUGGUCCUUAGUAGCAGGGCAAGGAGUGAAUUAACCAGGGUGACUCACCUCUCAGGAAGGUGUGAAAUUCCUCUUGCACCAGAGUCUCAGAGGCUUGCAAAGGAGCCAUUCCAGAUGUGGAUUUGCUUUUGCUAUCUACCCAUCUGCCUGGGCCAGAUCUGCUGACAAUGGCGGGAUAACUUGGAGUUCCCUAGCAAAGGGGCUCUUCCUCCAGCUUUUACAAUGAUCUUGAAGCCUAGUAAACAGUCUCUGUCCUCAUUAAGGGAGAGGUUGGGCUAAGAGGUACGUCUUCAAAUCAUCUCAAGUCAACCUGAGAGUGUGAUGCAACCAAUAGCUGAGUCUUAGAUGAUAAGAACAGUUAGCUGGAAGUGGAAGGAAGAGAGGGAAGCGGCAAGAGCCUUAUUGAGAUCACUUUUGAGGGCUGAAAUAAAUUAAACAGGGGAAAAAAACCCAGCAACCUUCUAUAUGGCAAUUCCUGGCAGACGCCAAUCAGGGCUAGAUUUCUUUGAAGGACUCUUGCCUCCUUUCCCUAGAAAUCUGGAAUGGUUCAAAAAAAAAAAAAAAAAAUAUGAGUGACCAGACCGAGGCCCAGGUACAAAGGCAGUAAACAAAGGAGUCUUUUUAUAAAGGGUGACUUCACUGAACACAAGAGGGGCCACAAUGUCCAGGCAUUUUCUCCAAAGCUUGGAGAAGAUAAAAAUGGGCAGCUGCUAUUCUAACCCUCAACACGGACAGUUUGGUAUGUUUUGUCUCUUCAGCUGGAUUCUCUAAUACUUGUGUCAGGAACAGUGGUGUGGGAUUCUAUUUUAGAAUUCUGGAAGCACUGCCAAGGGAGAAGCCCAGUGAAGUUAGCUCUAAAAGGACCCUUUUCUCUAAUAAUAAGAAAGAACACACCAAAAGAUCCAGAAGGGAUGUGUAAGUCAUUAAACUAUUAAGAAGUUGCUAUACAUACAGAGUUAAUUUGCUAAUGCAAAAUGGGCUGGUACAAGAUUUCCAAGGCUCAUAAAAUACCGCUGGCUUUUGGCUGCAGCUAGCACCUGGGGUGUGUGCCAACUGCUUCUUUACCCAGCAGCCUGGGUGUGGGGGUACCUGGGAGCCUUCUUCUUGGCUGGCCUCGCAAGACGCCCUGGUGGCACAGAGAACAGGGCCUUGAAGUGUGAGGUACCUUCCUGCCACCCAACUCAGGGCUGGGUACAGACCAUCUGUAGCUUUAAGAGGGAAUUCCAAAGCACAGAUGAGGAGUUCCCUGGUGGCUCAGUGGGUUAAGGAUCCAGCAUUGUCACUGCAGUGGCUCAGGUCACUGCUGUGGCACAGAUUCAGUCUCUGGCCCAGGAACUUCUGAGUGUUACAGGCACAACCAAAAAAAAAAAAAAAAAAAAAAAAAAA
RNAcentral lists this long non-coding RNA (5771 nucleotides) under Sus scrofa (pig). RNAcentral describes it as "lncRNA (ENSSSCG00005032768.1)". Lineage: Eukaryota; Metazoa; Chordata; Mammalia; Artiodactyla; Suidae. The record is from RNAcentral.